This 245-nucleotide ribosomal RNA is filed under the name uncultured bacterium. RNAcentral describes it as "partial 16S ribosomal RNA". It matches the Rfam family "Bacterial small subunit ribosomal RNA", at positions 15 to 252 of the family's 1533-position model. The record is from RNAcentral.
GAUCCUGGCUCGGGAUGAACGCUAGCUACAGGCUUAACACAUGCAAGUCGAGGGGCAGCAUGAUUGAAGCUUGCUUCAAUUGAUGGCGACCGGCGCACGGGUGAGUAACACGUAUCCAACCUGCCGAUAACUCGGGGAUAGCCUUUCGAAAGAAAGAUUAAUACCCGAUAGUAUAGUAUUUCCGCAUGGUUUCACUAUUAAAGAAUUUCGGUUAUCGAUGGGGAUGCGUUCCAUUAGAUAGUUGG